UACGUAGGAUCCAAGCGUUGUCCGGAUUUACUGGGUGUAAAGGGUGCGCAGGCGGGCUGGUAAGUCAGUAGUGAAAUCUCGGCGCUCAACGCCGAAACGUCUUUUGAUACUACCAGUCUUGAAUAAGCGAGAGAUCCGUGGAAUUCCGAGUGUAGCAGUGAAAUGUGUAGAUAUUCGGAAGAACACCAGAGGCGAAGGCAGCGGGUUGGCGCUUUAUUGACGCUCAGGCACGAAAGCAUGGGGAUCAAACAGG
Molecule: ribosomal RNA, 253 nt
Filed under: uncultured bacterium
Lineage: Bacteria
Description: partial 16S ribosomal RNA
Rfam family: Bacterial small subunit ribosomal RNA
Source: RNAcentral